This 497-nucleotide ribosomal RNA is filed under the name uncultured bacterium. RNAcentral's name for it is "partial 16S ribosomal RNA". It matches the Rfam family "Bacterial small subunit ribosomal RNA", at positions 28 to 507 of the family's 1533-position model. The record is from RNAcentral.
GAUGAACGCUGGCGGCGUGCCUAAUACAUGCAAGUCGAGCGAACAGAUGAGGAGCUUGCUCCUCUGACGUUAGCGGCGGACGUGGGAGUAACACGUGGAUAACCUACCUAUAAGACUGGGAUAACUUCGGGACACCGGCGCUAAUACCGGAUAAUAUAUUGAACCGUAUGGUUCAAUAGUGAAAUACGGUUUUGCUGUCACUUAUAGAUGGAUCCGCGCCGCAUGAGCUAGUUGGUACGUUAACGGCUUACCAAGGCAACGAUGCGUAGCCGACCUGAGAGGGUGAUCGGCCACACUGGAACUGAGACACGGUCCAGACUCCUACGGGAGGCCGCAGUAGGGAAUCUUCCGCAAUGGGCGAAAGCCUGACGGAGCAACGCCGCGUGAGUGAUGAAGGUCUUCGGAGCGUAAAACUCUGUUAUUAGGGAAGAACAAAUGUGUAAGUAACUAUGCACGUAUUGACGGUACCUAAUCAGAAAGCCACGGCUAACUACGUG